UACGGAGGGUGCAAGCGUUGUCCGGAUUCAUUGGGCGUAAAGGGCGUGUAGGCGGCCUUGUAAGUCCGACGUGAAAUCCCUCGGCUCAACCGAGGAAGUGCGUUGGAUACUGCGAGGCUUGAGUGCGGGAGAGGAAGGUGGAAUUCCCAGUGUAGCGGUGAAAUGCGUAGAUAUUGGGAGGAACACCGGUUGCGAAGGCGGCCUUCUGGACCGCCACUGACGCUGAGACGCGAAAGCGUGGGGAGCAAAC
Molecule: ribosomal RNA, 250 nt
Filed under: uncultured bacterium
Lineage: Bacteria
Description: partial 16S ribosomal RNA
Rfam family: Bacterial small subunit ribosomal RNA
Source: RNAcentral